CAAAAUGUAGCUAAAACAGUAAAGCACCUCCCUUACACCGAGAAGAUACCCGCGCAAUUCGAGUCAUUUUGA
This 72-nucleotide transfer RNA is filed under the name Bathytoshia brevicaudata (pitted stingray). RNAcentral's name for it is "tRNA-Val". It matches the Rfam family "tRNA". From Rfam's summary of the family: Transfer RNA (tRNA) molecules are approximately 80 nucleotides in length. Their secondary structure includes four short double-helical elements and three loops (D, anti-codon, and T loops). Further hydrogen bonds mediate the characteristic L-shaped molecular structure. tRNAs have two regions of fundamental functional importance: the anti-codon, which is responsible for specific mRNA codon recognition, and the 3' end, to which the tRNAs corresponding amino acid is attached (by aminoacyl-tRNA synthetases). tRNAs cope with the degeneracy of the genetic code in two manners: having more than one tRNA (with a specific anti-codon) for a particular amino acid; and 'wobble' base-pairing, i.e. permitting non-standard base-pairing at the 3rd anti-codon position. The record is from RNAcentral. Lineage: Eukaryota; Metazoa; Chordata; Chondrichthyes; Myliobatiformes; Dasyatidae.